CAGUCGUGAGGAAGGUGGUAGUGUUAAUAGCACUAUCAUUUGACGUUAGCGACAGAAGAAAGCACCGGCUAACUCCGUGCCAGCAGCCGCGGUAAUACGGAGGGUGCGAGCGUUAAUCGGAAUUACUGGGCGUAAAGCGCAUGCAGGUGGUUUGUUAAGUCAGAUGUGAAAGACCCGGGGCGUCAACCUCGGAAUAGCAUUUGAAACUGGCAGACUAGAGUACUGUAGAGGGGGGUAGGAAUUUCAGGUGUAGCGGUGAAAUGCGUAGAGAUCUGAAGGAAUACCGGUGGCGAAGGCGGCCCCCUCGGACAGAUACUGACACUCAGAUGCGAAAGCGUGGGGAGCAAACAGGAUUAGAUACCCUGGUAG
Molecule: ribosomal RNA, 369 nt
Filed under: uncultured bacterium
Lineage: Bacteria
Description: bacterial SSU rRNA
Rfam family: Bacterial small subunit ribosomal RNA
Source: RNAcentral